This 363-nucleotide ribosomal RNA is filed under the name Triticum aestivum (bread wheat). RNAcentral describes it as "partial small subunit ribosomal RNA". Lineage: Eukaryota; Viridiplantae; Streptophyta; Magnoliopsida; Poales; Poaceae. The record is from RNAcentral.
AUGCAGCUGCCGCCGCCGAACCAGGGAGACGCCGGCGACCGUCGCCGCCGUCGUGGAUCACCAGGACGCCGCCGGGCGAGGGGCGUCGAUGAGAUGCCCCCGGCGCUUCCCUCCGGGCGGGAGGAGGAGAGGGGCGUCGGCGACGAGGCGAGUGUCGGCGGUGAGAUGGUCUCUGACGGGCGUGAUGAGGCGGGCAGCUUUGGCGUGAAGCGUGCGUUCGUGGAGGUAUUCGCCAGGGCGCUCUUCUAUCCGACGGUGAUGCUCAACUAUGGCCGUAGCUUGAUCGAUCCCGAGUUCCACUGGUGGGAUCGCAUCGACAAGGAUAUUUGGAUAGGGGAAGUUCCUCACCAACCAAUGUCAUAA